RNAcentral lists this ribosomal RNA (525 nucleotides) under Triticum aestivum (bread wheat). RNAcentral's name for it is "partial small subunit ribosomal RNA". Lineage: Eukaryota; Viridiplantae; Streptophyta; Magnoliopsida; Poales; Poaceae. The record is from RNAcentral.
GGGAAUACCCGGACAGUUCGAGUGAUAGCGACUAUAUCGCAGUCGCAUUCCCCCACGUUUGUAUUUCUUUGCGAGACAAGACAAACCGCAAAUAAAAUGAGGAGAAUAAGAAGCAGGCUUGGCUUGAAGGGGUUUGAAGGAGUGGAUAGUAAUGGGAUGAGUGGUGGACUCGCCCUGUAUUGGCAUGAGAAUUGUGAUGUCAGCAUAUUGGAUAAGCACGAUCGUUAUAUUGAUGCUCUAGUAAAAGUUAACUCUGAUGCGGUGCAAUGGAGAAUGACUUGUGUUUAUGGGGAACCACGGGUGAAUAGGCACAUGAUGUGGACUAAGCUCAGAAACCUUAAGAGCGUGAGUGAUCACCCGUGGUUAGUCAUUGGCGAUUUUAAUGAAGCCUUGUGGGAUUUUGAGCACCUAUCAGCAACACCGAGGCCUGAGAUCCAAAUGGUGGCAUUCAGAGACACGCUGGAGGCGUGCGAGUUGGUGGACUUGGGGUUCACAGGAAUCCCCUUCACAUAUGAUAACAAAUGA